RNAcentral lists this ribosomal RNA (327 nucleotides) under Triticum aestivum (bread wheat). Its description in RNAcentral is "partial small subunit ribosomal RNA". The record is from RNAcentral. Lineage: Eukaryota; Viridiplantae; Streptophyta; Magnoliopsida; Poales; Poaceae.
AUGGGGUGUGUUGUAAUGUUGGAACCGACGUCAAGAUUUGUUGGAAUCGGCUUCUCGAUUUGCUGGAACCGGCAAUCACACUUGCUGGAAUCUAUGUCACGAGCGUAUCAUUUUGCUGCAACCAGCCGCAGAGAUUGCUGGAACCGGCAUCUAGAAUUGCUGGAACGGGCUUCUUCUUCUUCAACGACGCCUAUGGUGACCACGGUAACCAUGAUGUUUUUUUGCUUCUUUUUUUGUUGCAACCGGUAUAUGUUUUUCCUGCGACCGGUGAUUUGUUUUGUUACAACCGUUUUAUUUUUUUGGUACAUUCAUUCACGGCCGAGCUGA